CCUACGGGAGGCAGCAGUAGGGAAUAUUGCUCAAUGGGGGAAACCCUGAAGCAGCAACGCCGCGUGGAGGAUGAAGGUUUUCGGAUUGUAAACUCCUUUUGUUAGAGAAGAUAAUGACGGUAUCUAACGAAUAAGCACCGGCUAACUCAGUGCCAGCAGCCGCGGUAAUACGGAGGGUGCAAGCGUUACUCGGAAUCACUGGGCGUAAAGAGCGCGUAGGCGGGAUAGCAAGUCAGAUGUGAAAUCCUAUGGCUUAACCAUAGAACUGCAUUUGAAACUGUUAUUCUAGAGUAUGGGAGAGGUAGGUGGAAUUCUUGGUGUAGGGGUAAAAUCCGUAGAGAUCAAGAGGAAUACUCAGUGCGAAGGCGACCUGCUAGAACAUAACUGACGCUGAUGCGCGAAAGCGUGGGUAGCAAACAGGAUUAGAUACCCCGGUAGUC
RNAcentral lists this ribosomal RNA (440 nucleotides) under uncultured bacterium. Its description in RNAcentral is "partial 16S ribosomal RNA". It matches the Rfam family "Bacterial small subunit ribosomal RNA", at positions 338 to 795 of the family's 1533-position model. The record is from RNAcentral.